RNAcentral lists this ribosomal RNA (516 nucleotides) under uncultured bacterium. RNAcentral describes it as "bacterial SSU rRNA". It matches the Rfam family "Bacterial small subunit ribosomal RNA", at positions 60 to 567 of the family's 1533-position model. The record is from RNAcentral.
AGUCGAGGGGCAUCAGGAAGAAGCUUGCUUUCUUUGCUGGCGACCGGCGCACGGGUGAGUAACACGUAUCCAACCUGCCCUUUACUCGGGGAUAGCCUUUCGAAAGAAAGAUUAAUACCCGAUGGCAUAAUGAUUCCGCAUGGUUUCAUUAUUAAAGGAUUCCGGUAAAGGAUGGGGAUGCGUUCCAUUAGGUUGUUGGUGAGGUAACGGCUCACCAAGCCUUCGAUGGAUAGGGGUUCUGAGAGGAAGGUCCCCCACAUUGGAACUGAGACACGGUCCAAACUCCUACGGGAGGCAGCAGUGAGGAAUAUUGGUCAAUGGGCGCUAGCCUGAACCAGCCAAGUAGCGUGAAGGAUGAAGGCUCUAUGGGUCGUAAACUUCUUUUAUAUAAGAAUAAAGUGCAGUAUGUAUACUGUUUUGUAUGUAUUAUAUGAAUAAGGAUCGGCUAACUCCGUGCCAGCAGCCGCGGUAAUACGGAGGAUCCGAGCGUUAUCCGGAUUUAUUGGGUUUAAAGGG